GACGAACGCUGGCGGCGUGCUUAACACAUGCCAGUCGAACGGUGAACGAGGGAGCUUGCUCGCUCCGGUUCAGUGGCGAACGGGUGAGUAACACGUGAUCAAUCUACCUCGCACUCUGGGAUAAUCAUUGGAAACGACGUCUAAUACCGAAUACGUCGCGGCAGGGCAUUGUCUCCGCGUUGAAAGAACUUCGGUUCGGGAUGAGCUCGCGGCCUAUCAGCUUGUUGUAGAGGUAAUGGAUGAGCAAUGCGACGCCGGGUAGCCGGCCUGAGAGGGUGACCGGACCCGCUAGGAUGGAGAUACGGCACAGACUAGACUGGGAGGCAGCGGUGGGGAAUAGUGCACAAUGGGAGGAAGCCUGAUGCAGUCCAGCCGCGUGGGGGAAGACGGGAUGCGGGCUGUAUAGCUCUUUUAGCAGGGAAGAAGCGAAAGUGACAGUACCUGGAGAAAAAGCACCGGCUAACUACGUG
RNAcentral lists this ribosomal RNA (470 nucleotides) under uncultured bacterium. Its description in RNAcentral is "partial 16S ribosomal RNA". It matches the Rfam family "Bacterial small subunit ribosomal RNA", at positions 28 to 507 of the family's 1533-position model. The record is from RNAcentral.